UAUUGUAGUGUACUGCUCCCAGAUGUCUUUCUCCUGCUUGAACCUCAUCUACCUGAAAUUUUACCUUUCUGGACCUUCCCUUCACCAGAAAAGUAUAAUUCCCAGGCAGCAUUUUCUUAACAAAACAGAUGCAGAGUGCGUUCUUCAGUGAAGCUCAAUGUGGCAUUCCAUUCCGGUCCCUGGAUAUAAUUUGAGUUAACUUCACAACAGCCAACCAAAGUCAAAAAGGGGCCAUAAGAAGGAUGACGCAUUGGGGAGAGUGCCUAUCAGCUCACCACCGGGUUUUAGUUAAAGGAUGCACUUCUUCUCAUCUCUUCAGAAGAGACUUGGCUUCAUCUAUUGCUUCUCUUGGGUGAUCUCUGGGAAGAUGUUUCUCCUGGCCACAGUUUCCCCUGUUAGAAUGUCUGGUAUCGCCAAGCUUUUGCUCUCAGCUCAAUGGCCUGACCACCUACUGCCUCACCCUCUGGGCUUGGACACCGGAGCUGUCCCAGAACGGAGGGAGCGUAUGCUCUAUACCGCUGGCCUCGAUCAUUGCGUAGAAACACAGGUUUCACUCAAGCUGUUCUGCAAAGGAGUAUAGGAAUGCAGAUUCAGUGGCUCUAGAAACUCCUGUUAGAAGCUUGAAGACUGAAGACUCUGGCCUCAGCUAGGGAAGAGGAUCUGACUUCAAACAUGAGAAACACGAACGAAGAGUUCUUCAUUCUGCUCCACCCACCCCGGCACACGCCCCAAUCAAACAAACCUAAACCCACACUUCAGGGGUGUGUCCCCCC
This is a long non-coding RNA of Piliocolobus tephrosceles (Ugandan red Colobus), 773 nucleotides long. RefSeq lists it as uncharacterized. The transcript is spliced from 4 exons. The record is from RefSeq and is a predicted model, not a curated record. Lineage: Eukaryota; Metazoa; Chordata; Mammalia; Primates; Cercopithecidae.